Molecule: ribosomal RNA, 465 nt
Filed under: Vreelandella stevensii
Lineage: Bacteria; Pseudomonadati; Pseudomonadota; Gammaproteobacteria; Oceanospirillales; Halomonadaceae
Description: partial 16S ribosomal RNA
Rfam family: Bacterial small subunit ribosomal RNA
Source: RNAcentral
CCUACGGGCGGCUGCAGUGGGGAAUAUUGGACAAUGGGCGAAAGCCUGAUCCAGCCAUGCCGCGUGUGUGAAGAAGGCCUUCGGGUUGUAAAGCACUUUCAGUGGGGAAGAAAGCCUUGGGGCUAAUACCCUCGAGGAAGGACAUCACCCACAGAAGAAGCACCGGCUAACUCCGUGCCAGCAGCCGCGGUAAUACGGAGGGUGCGAGCGUUAAUCGGAAUUACUGGGCGUAAAGCGCGCGUAGGCGGUUUGAUAAGCCGGUUGUGAAAGCCCCGGGCUCAACCUGGGAACGGCAUCCGGAACUGUCAGGCUAGAAUGCAGGAGAGGAAGGUAGAAUUCCCGGUGUAGCGGUGAAAUGCGUAGAGAUCGGGAGGAAUACCAGUGGCGAAGGCGGCCUUCUGGACUGACACUGACGCUGAGGUGCGAAAGCGUGGGUAGCAAACAGGAUUAGAUACCCGAGUAGUC